GACGAACGCUGGCGGCGUGCUUAACACAUGCAAGUCGAACGAAGCUUGAUUACGGAUUCUUCGGAUGAAGUAUGAUAUGACUGAGUGGCGGACGGGUGAGUAACGCGUGAGUAACCUGCCCUUCAGAGGGGGAUAGCGUUUGGAAACGAACGGUAAUACCGCAUAAUGUAUUUUGACCGCAUGAUCGAAAUACCAAAGAUUUAUCGCUGAAGGAUGGACUCGCGUCUGAUUAGGUAGUUGGUGGGGUAACGGCCUACCAAGCCGACGAUCAGUAGCCGGACUGAGAGGUUGAUCGGCCACAUUAGGACUGAGACACGGCCCAGACUCCUACGGGAGGCAGCAGUGGGGAAUAUUGCACAAUGGGCGCAAGCCUGAUGCAGCAACGCCGCGUGAAGGAAGACGGUUUUCGGAUUGUAAACUUCUGUUCUUAGUGAAGAAUAAUGACGGUAGCUAAGGAGCAAGCCACGGCUAACUACGUG
This 479-nucleotide ribosomal RNA is filed under the name uncultured bacterium. RNAcentral's name for it is "partial 16S ribosomal RNA". It matches the Rfam family "Bacterial small subunit ribosomal RNA", at positions 28 to 507 of the family's 1533-position model. The record is from RNAcentral.